RNAcentral lists this unclassified non-coding RNA (246 nucleotides) under Lopadostoma polynesium. RNAcentral describes it as "partial contains 5.8S ribosomal RNA, internal transcribed spacer 2, and large subunit ribosomal RNA". Lineage: Eukaryota; Fungi; Ascomycota; Sordariomycetes; Xylariales; Xylariaceae. The record is from RNAcentral.
CGCACAUUGCGCCCACCAGUAUUCUGGUGGGCAUGCCUGUUCGAGCGUCAUUUCAAACCCUUAAGCCUCGCCGCUUAGCGUUGGGGCCCGCUGUAGCUACAGCGGCCCUUAAAGAUAUUGGCGGGAUCGUCGAGCUCUAAGCGUAGUAAAAUCUCUCGCUUCUGGGUUUCUGGCGGCCGCUGCCACAAGCCAACUAUUCUAUCAAGGUUUGACCUCGGAUCAGGUAGGAAUACCCGCUGAACUUAA